Molecule: long non-coding RNA, 623 nt
Filed under: Marmota monax (woodchuck)
Lineage: Eukaryota; Metazoa; Chordata; Mammalia; Rodentia; Sciuridae
Source: RNAcentral
CAAAGAGGCUUUCCCAGAAAAGACUCUGAAUAACACACUAAAAUCCCAUGAAUCCUUUUUCCUCUCUUCCAGUAAGCUGCUGACUACAGUCUCAGUCUGUGAGAGCAAGUGCUGAGAUGCUUCACCAGCCAGGUGGCUCCUCGGGGCAAACCAGGGACACAGAGCACCCCUGGGCCCUGAGGGGGUUUCUUGACACCAGGCUACGGAAUAGCUUCCUGCCGUGUCUACAAAAGCAUGGUUUGACCAGAUUUCAGCUGGGCUGUAGUGUUGCUUGUCUUAGGUUUCAAGUUGGUACCAGCUGCCCUGAGGGGAAAUGGUUGGGGAAAUGCUCCCAUUUGGCUUCUUUCCACAUGGAGGGUGGCUAGAGGAAGAGAGGGCUUAGAGCUGCAGCCCUGGUACCAGUGCCUUAAAAAUAAUGAUAUAAACACAGCCACAGCACUCAGCCUGCGGAGUCCCUGAUGGGGACCAGAGGAGAGAUGCUGUCCUGACUUACCCUUCAACGCACGCUCUGCAAACAUAAGGGACCCAGCCCUCAUCUAUCACCUGAGAAGCUAAACAAACUUCCUCCGACGGCCUGUGGAGUAUAAAUCAAGAGGGCCCUAGCUGCUGCUGCUACUGCUGCC